Molecule: ribosomal RNA, 413 nt
Filed under: uncultured soil bacterium
Lineage: Bacteria
Description: bacterial SSU rRNA
Rfam family: Bacterial small subunit ribosomal RNA
Source: RNAcentral
AGGACGAACGCUGGCGGCGUGCUUAACACAUGCAAGUCGAACGAGACCUUCGGGUCUAGUGGCGCACGGGUGCGUAACGCGUGGGAAUCUGCCCUUAGGUUCGGAAUAACAGUUAGAAAUGACUGCUAAUACCGGAUAAUGUCUUCGGACCAAAGAUUUAUUGCCUAAGGAUGAGCCCGCGUAAGAUUAGCUUGUUGGUGAGGUAAAGGCUCACCAAGGCGACGAUCUUUAGCUGGUCUGAGAGGAUGAUCAGCCACACUGGGACUGAGACGACGGCCCAGACUCCGUACGGGAGGCAGCAGGUGGGGAAUAGUUGGACAAGUGGGACGAAAGCCUGAUCCGAGCAAUGCCGCGUGAGCGAUGGAAGGUCCGUUAAGGUAGUAAAGCUUACCGUUUACCGGGAUGAUAAUGAC